GCGGUUAAACCAAGAAAGUUAAGUCAUAUUAUAACGGUAAAAAGAUAGUUAAAUAAUUAAAAAGUUUAUUUAAUAUUUAUAAAGAGGUAGAAUUCUAAUAUAGGUAUAAAAUUUAAUUAUAACUUAAGUAUUGAAGCUAUGGCAGCCUUGAGGGAAACUGGGAUUAGAUACCCCAUUAUUCUUGGUCACAAAUAAAUUUAAAUUAAUUUACCAGAGUACUAUGAACUAUAAAAAUUUAAAACUCAAAGAGCUUGGCGGUGUUUUAGACCCUUCAGGGGAACCUGUCUCGUAAUCGACAAUCCACGUUAAACCUAACCUUUAUUUGCUUCCAGUCUGUAUACCGUCGUCGUCAGGUAACUUUUAAAAAUUUAGAAGUUAGCAAUGAAAACUUAUGUAAGUUUAAACGUCAGAUCAAGGUGCAACCUAUAUAAAGGUGAGGAUGGGUUACAAUUAUUAAGUUAUAAUAACGAAGUAUUUAUUUGAAUAAAUAAAUAUAAGGAGGACUUGAAAGUAAACUGAAUUAUAUAAAUAUUUUGAAUAAGGCUCUGAAACGUGCACACAUCGCC
This 566-nucleotide ribosomal RNA is filed under the name Bedeva paivae. Its description in RNAcentral is "partial 12S ribosomal RNA". Lineage: Eukaryota; Metazoa; Mollusca; Gastropoda; Neogastropoda; Muricidae. The record is from RNAcentral.